GUCUACGGCCAUGCCACCCUGAACACGCCUGAUCCCUUCUGAUCUCAGAAGCUAAGCAGGGUCAGGCUUGGUUAGUACUUGGAUGGGAGACCACCUAGGUGCUGUAGGUA
This 110-nucleotide ribosomal RNA is filed under the name Pteropus alecto (black flying fox). Lineage: Eukaryota; Metazoa; Chordata; Mammalia; Chiroptera; Pteropodidae. The record is from RNAcentral.